RNAcentral lists this ribosomal RNA (220 nucleotides) under uncultured Glomus. RNAcentral describes it as "partial small subunit ribosomal RNA". It matches the Rfam family "Eukaryotic small subunit ribosomal RNA", at positions 591 to 815 of the family's 1831-position model. Lineage: Eukaryota; Fungi; Glomeromycota; Glomeromycetes; Glomerales; Glomeraceae. The record is from RNAcentral.
CCAAUAGCGUAUAUUAAAGUUGUUGCAGUUAAAAAGCUCGUAGUUGAAUUUCGGGAUCAAUAUUUCGGUCAUGCCGUUGGUAUGCACUGUUAUCAUUGAUUUCUCACCUUCUAAAGAACCGUAAUGCCAUUAAUUUGGUGUUACGGGGAAUUAGGACUGUUACCUUGAAAAAAUUAGAGUGUUUAAAGCAGGCUCACGCUUGAAUACAUUAGCAUGGAAU